UUGAAGGUGUGCUGUGAGGCAUGCUGGAGGUAUCAGAAGUGCGAAUGCUGACAUAAGUAACGAUAAAGCGGGUGAAAAGCCCGCUCGCCGGAAGACCAAGGGUUCCUGUCCAACGUUAAUCGGGGCAGGGUGAGUCGACCCCUAAGGCGAGGCCGAAAGGCGUAGUCGAUGGGAAACAGGUUAAUAUUCCUGUACUUGGUGUUACUGCGAAGGGGGGACGGAGAAGGCUAUGUCGGCCGGGCGACGGUUGUCCCGGUUUAAGCGUGUAGGUGUGUGUUCCAGGUAAAUCCGGUUCACUUUAACACUGAGGCGUGAUGACGAGGCACCACGGUGCUGAAGUGACAAAUGCCCUGCUUCCAGGAAAAGCCUCUAAGCAUCAGGUAACAUCAAAUCGUACCCCAAACCGACACAGGUGGUCAGGUAGAGAAUACCAAGGCGCUUGAGAGAACUCGGGUGAAGGAACUAGGCAAAAUGGUGCCGUAACUUCGGGAGAAGGCACGCUGGUGCGUAGGUGAAGUGACUUGCUCACGGAGCUGAAACCAGUCGAAGAUACCAGCUGGCUGCAACUGUUUAUUAAAAACACAGCACUGUGCAAACACGAAAGUGGACGUAUACGGUGUGACGCCUGCCCGGUGCCGGAAGGUUAAUUGAUGGGGUUAUCCUCGCGGAGAAGCUCUUGAUCGAAGCCCCGGUAAACGGCGGCCGUAACUAUAACGGUCCUAAGG
This 725-nucleotide ribosomal RNA is filed under the name Citrobacter rodentium. RNAcentral's name for it is "bacterial LSU rRNA". It matches the Rfam family "Bacterial large subunit ribosomal RNA", at positions 1250 to 1956 of the family's 2925-position model. Lineage: Bacteria; Pseudomonadati; Pseudomonadota; Gammaproteobacteria; Enterobacterales; Enterobacteriaceae. The record is from RNAcentral.